This 382-nucleotide long non-coding RNA is filed under the name Rattus norvegicus (Norway rat). RNAcentral describes it as "long non-coding RNA NONRATT010087". Lineage: Eukaryota; Metazoa; Chordata; Mammalia; Rodentia; Muridae. The record is from RNAcentral.
GCACAGUACCGGGGGCGGGCCGAGCAACGCAGCCGGGACGGUAGCUGCAUCGCAGAGCGGAGGAGCCAUCUUGUCUUGUCGCCGGGGAGUCAGGCCCCUAACUCGAAGAAGCCCUGGCGCGCCCUCCCCCCCUCCCCGGUCUGGUAGGGCGAAGGAGCGGGCGUGCGGUCGAUCGAGCGAUCGGUUGGCGGCUCUUUCUCCUGCUCUGGCAUCCAGCUCUUGGGGCGCAGGCCCGGCCGCCGCGGCGCGCGCCCGGUGGCCGUUGGCGCUCGCGCCGUGUCUUUCUUCUCGUACGCAGAACUCGGGCGGCGGCCUAUGCCUUUGCGAUCCGACGAGGGGUCGUCCGGGUGGUUGGCGGCGGCGGGCAACUGCUCCGCCCCGC